This 1019-nucleotide ribosomal RNA is filed under the name Salmonella enterica. RNAcentral's name for it is "partial 23S ribosomal RNA". It matches the Rfam family "Bacterial large subunit ribosomal RNA", at positions 1214 to 2215 of the family's 2925-position model. Lineage: Bacteria; Pseudomonadati; Pseudomonadota; Gammaproteobacteria; Enterobacterales; Enterobacteriaceae. The record is from RNAcentral.
CUGUGUGUUGUUGGGUAGGGGAGCGUUCUGUAAGCCUGUGAAGGUGGCCUGUGAGGGUUGCUGGAGGUAUCAGAAGUGCGAAUGCUGACAUAAGUAACGAUAAAGCGGGUGAAAAGCCCGCUCGCCGGAAGACCAAGGGUUCCUGUCCAACGUUAAUCGGGGCAGGGUGAGUCGACCCCUAAGGCGAGGCCGAAAGGCGUAGUCGAUGGGAAACGGGUUAAUAUUCCCGUACUUGGUGUUACUGCGAAGGGGGGACGGAGAAGGCUAUGUUGGCCGGGCGACGGUUGUCCCGGUUUAAGCGUGUAGGUGUGUGUUCCAGGUAAAUCCGGUUCACUUUAACACUGAGGCGUGACGACGAGGCACUACGGUGCUGAAGCAACAAAUGCCCUGCUUCCAGGAAAAGCCUCUAAGCAUCAGGUAACAUCAAAUCGUACCCCAAACCGACACAGGUGGUCAGGUAGAGAAUACCAAGGCGCUUGAGAGAACUCGGGUGAAGGAACUAGGCAAAAUGGUGCCGUAACUUCGGGAGAAGGCACGCUGACACGUAGGUGAAGUGAUUUACUCAUGGAGCUGAAGUCAGUCGAAGAUACCAGCUGGCUGCAACUGUUUAUUAAAAACACAGCACUGUGCAAACACGAAAGUGGACGUAUACGGUGUGACGCCUGCCCGGUGCCGGAAGGUUAAUUGAUGGGGUCAGCGCAAGCGAAGCUCCUGAUCGAAGCCCCGGUAAACGGCGGCCGUAACUAUAACGGUCCUAAGGUAGCGAAAUUCCUUGUCGGGUAAGUUCCGACCUGCACGAAUGGCGUAAUGAUGGCCAGGCUGUCUCCACCCGAGACUCAGUGAAAUUGAACUCGCUGUGAAGAUGCAGUGUACCCGCGGCAAGACGGAAAGACCCCGUGAACCUUUACUAUAGCUUGACACUGAACAUUGAGCCUUGAUGUGUAGGAUAGGUGGGAGGCUUUGAAGUGUGGACGCCAGUCUGCAUGGAGCCGACCUUGAAAUACCACCCUUUAAUGUUU